CCUACGGGGGGCAGCAGUGGGGAAUAUUGGACAAUGGGCGCAAGCCUGAUCCAGCCAUGCCGCGUGAGUGAUGAAGGCCUUAGGGUUGUAAAGCUCUUUCGCCGGUGAAGAUAAUGACGGUAACCGGAAAAGAAGCCCCGGCUAACUUCGUGCCAGCAGCCGCGGUAAUACGAAGGGGGCUAGCGUUGUUCGGAUUUACUGGGCGUAAAGCGCGCGUAGGCGGAUGAAUUAGUUAGAGGUGAAAUCCCAGGGCUCAACCCUGGAACUGCCUUUAAUACUGUUUAUCUAGAGUAUGAAAGAGGUGAGUGGAAUUCCGAGUGUAGAGGUGAAAUUCGUAGAUAUUCGGAGGAACAUCAGUGGCGAAGGCGGCUCACUGGUUCAUUACUGACGCUGAGGUGCGAAAGCGUGGGGAGCAAACAGGAUUAGAUACCC
Molecule: ribosomal RNA, 432 nt
Filed under: uncultured bacterium
Lineage: Bacteria
Description: bacterial SSU rRNA
Rfam family: Bacterial small subunit ribosomal RNA
Source: RNAcentral